Molecule: ribosomal RNA, 254 nt
Filed under: uncultured bacterium
Lineage: Bacteria
Description: partial 16S ribosomal RNA
Rfam family: Bacterial small subunit ribosomal RNA
Source: RNAcentral
UAUGGGGGGGGCAAGCGUUGUUCGGAAUUACUGGGCGUAAAGGGCUCGUAGGCGGCCAACUAAGUCAGACGUGAAAUCCCUCGGCUUAACCGGGGAACUGCGUCUGAUACUGGAUGGCUAGAGUUUGGGAGAGGGAUGCGGAAUUCCAGGUGUAGCGGUGAAAUGCGUAGAUAUCUGGAGGAACACCGGUGGCGAAGGCGGCAUCCUGGACCAACACUGACGCUGAGUGAGCGAAAGCCAGGGGAGCAAACGGG